RNAcentral lists this long non-coding RNA (482 nucleotides) under Medicago truncatula (barrel medic). RNAcentral describes it as "long non-coding RNA (MTRU_LNC008605)". Lineage: Eukaryota; Viridiplantae; Streptophyta; Magnoliopsida; Fabales; Fabaceae. The record is from RNAcentral.
ACUAAUCUAUUAUGAUGUAUUCCUGUUUGGAUUAUUCCUGGGUCAGGUCUAAUGUCCCCCAGUUUUUAUACUCCUCUUUUUUAUUUAUGUGAUUUUCUAUUUUGCCUCAAAAAAAUAUAUAGAUGUCUAGAGUUGAUUUCUCAUAGGAAAUUAAAUGUUCGGAUGGUUCAAAGUGGAGACGGUUCCUACAAGAUGGGGCAGUAUGCUGAUGGAGAAUUCAACAUUUGGGGAAGGCACGUGCAAAUUAAUCUAAUAAAGUACAACACAUGCUACCUUUCAUAACACGAAGAGUUACUACCAACCCACCAAGCAAUAGGGAGUAUAUAAUAUAAUGGUGGGUGGCUUUUGUUUGCUAGCAUGCUUGCACAUAUGAAAAUGAGGAUGCAAAUUUGGAUUUGAUGCAUAUGUAUGGAUUGAGACAUGUACCUGACCUUUUUGAGAGGUUAUUACACUUGUGACUUAAGGUAGUGGUCAAAGUGGGG